This 74-nucleotide transfer RNA is filed under the name Thermoprotei archaeon. Its description in RNAcentral is "tRNA-Thr". It matches the Rfam family "tRNA". From Rfam's summary of the family: Transfer RNA (tRNA) molecules are approximately 80 nucleotides in length. Their secondary structure includes four short double-helical elements and three loops (D, anti-codon, and T loops). The record is from RNAcentral. Lineage: Archaea; Thermoproteati; Thermoproteota; Thermoprotei.
GGGCCCGUAGCUCAGCUUGGCAGAGCGUUCGAGCGGUGACCGAAAGGUCGUGGGUUCGAAUCCCACCGGGCCCA